Molecule: ribosomal RNA, 301 nt
Filed under: uncultured bacterium
Lineage: Bacteria
Description: partial 16S ribosomal RNA
Rfam family: Bacterial small subunit ribosomal RNA
Source: RNAcentral
CAGUCGCCGCGGUAAUUCGGAGGGGGCUAGCGUUGUUCGGAAUUACUGGGCGUAAAGCGCACGUAGGCGGCUUGGUAAGUUAGAGGUGAAAGCCUGGAGCUCAACUCCAGAAUUGCCUUUAAGACUGCCGAGCUAGCAGGUGAGAGAGGUAAGUGGAAUUCCGAGUGUAGAGGUGAAAUUCGUAGAUAUUCGGAAGAACACCAGUGGCGAAGGCGGCUUACUGGCUCAUACUGGACGCUGAGGUGCGAAAGCGUGGGGAGCAAACAGGAUUAGAUACCCCUGUAGUCCCUGUCUCUUAUAC